This 449-nucleotide long non-coding RNA is filed under the name Anas platyrhynchos platyrhynchos (common mallard). Its description in RNAcentral is "lncRNA (ENSAPLG00000029588.1)". The record is from RNAcentral. Lineage: Eukaryota; Metazoa; Chordata; Aves; Anseriformes; Anatidae.
UGUAUAAUACCUGACUGGAGUGGCACAGUGCCUUCGGUCCCCAGGCGCCACAAUCACUUCACUAACCCCCUGUACUAGAGUGACGUUCAAGUGAAUAGCUCCACUGAUCACACUCUUUCCUGCUGAUUAACACUUUCCAACACGACCAGGCGCUCGGGUUCCAACUUUUCCUUUUAAAACAGCAGCAGCCAGCACUGCUUGCCUCCUCGGGUUAUAAACGCCGUCUGGGGCGUGGGGGACACCAUAAUUAAUAGCAGCUUGCCUGUUAGGCACUCAACCUACAGAGGGGCAACACCUGACCUAAGUGGCACUGGAUGUUGCAGCAUGGUGUGAGAACUCUGAUGGCUUCCAUGGGCAAAGAAGGAGAACAUCAGUCAUGUGGAUGCCAGAACCUAACAGGAGCCCUUCACUCUUGCCGUUCAUUGCCUGGGAAAUUGUUUUUGGGCUGA